CGAACGUUGGCGGUAUGCUUAACACAUGCAAGUCGUACGUGAAAGCUUCCUUCGGGAGGCAAGUAAAGUGGCGCACGGGUGAGUAACACGUGGAUAAUCUACCCAGUAAUCCGGGAUAACAUCUCGAAAGAGAUGCUAAUACCUGAUAAGCCCACGAUCUCUUCGGAGGACGAGGGAAAAGGUGGGGACCUUCGGGCCUGCCGUUGCUGGAUGAGUCCGCGGCCCAUUAGCUAGUUGGUAGGGUAAUGGCCUACCAAGGCUACGAUGGGUAGCUGGUCUGAGAGGAUGAUCAGCCACACUGGAACUGGGACACGGUCCAGACUCCUACGGGAGGCAGCAGUGGGGAAUUUUGCGCAAUGGGCGAAAGCCUGACGCAGCAAUACCGCGUGAGUGAUGAAGGCUCUCGGGUCGUAAAGCUCUGUCAGAGGGGAAGAACCUCCUGUCGUUUAAUACGCGGCAGGCCUGACGGUACCCUCAGAGGAAGCACCGGCUAACUCC
This 498-nucleotide ribosomal RNA is filed under the name uncultured bacterium. RNAcentral's name for it is "bacterial SSU rRNA". It matches the Rfam family "Bacterial small subunit ribosomal RNA", at positions 30 to 504 of the family's 1533-position model. The record is from RNAcentral.